Nicotiana attenuata is the source of this 588-nucleotide long non-coding RNA. RefSeq lists it as uncharacterized. Lineage: Eukaryota; Viridiplantae; Streptophyta; Magnoliopsida; Solanales; Solanaceae. The record is from RefSeq and is a predicted model, not a curated record. The transcript has 2 exons.
AAGAACACAUAAUAAUUCACGGUCUCAUUCCUCCUACUCCUAGAAAACUAAUUGCACAGCAUGUUAAUAAGGUAAAUUUAGCGACAAGAUACUUUAAGAAAGGCAAUAAAGAUAGGGCUUCAAUAUUUCAGAAUUCGGAUCUCAGAAGCAUAUAAAAUCAAACAACAACAACAACAACAUACCAAGUACAAUCCCACAGGUGGGAUCUGGGGAGGCUGCGAUGGUUUGGGCAUGUGUGGAGGAGAGACAUAGAUGCCCCAGUCAGGAGGUGUGAGAGGUUGAACAUGGCAGGCUUGAGGAAAGGCAGGGGUAGAGAUGCCCCGAGGAGGGUAGUGAGUACGCAGACCUUACCCCUACCUGGAGAGGCUGUUUCCAGUAGACCCUCGGCUCAAGAAAAGAUGGCAAGGAAGAAAAGGCAUGGAGUAGAACAAAAGAGUCGAGCCAGAAAGAGAAAUUUGAACACAGAAGCUUCUACUACUUAAAUCCACAAGGAUGCUCUUAAAUUUUUCAUGUCUUACUUUACAUCAGAUGUGUGUGUAUGAAAAUGCAUGCAGUGUGCUUCAGUAAUUUUGUCUUUUUGUCUUUUUA